RNAcentral lists this long non-coding RNA (273 nucleotides) under Bos taurus (domestic cattle). RNAcentral's name for it is "long non-coding RNA NONBTAT019765". The record is from RNAcentral. Lineage: Eukaryota; Metazoa; Chordata; Mammalia; Artiodactyla; Bovidae.
GAUAUUUGCUAUGCCUUGGGAACACUGCCUUUUCCAAAGAGGAAUUUUUAUCAAUUCAGUGAGUCUUUUUGUACUUAUGUAAAUAAUCAUAUUUCAUAAAUAAAAUAGGAUUCUAGUUUCUCAGCCUUUGUCUAAAGACUACAUAUUUUUGUAUCAUAAACUGGAAGUAUGUAUAAAUGAUAUACUCAUAAAUCACUCCUACCCAGAAUGUCAGCUUUUACAGUACCUUUAACAGAUAAUUUGAUGAUAAAUCUCAAAAACUUAAAUAUAUUC